Molecule: ribosomal RNA, 1172 nt
Filed under: Triticum aestivum (bread wheat)
Lineage: Eukaryota; Viridiplantae; Streptophyta; Magnoliopsida; Poales; Poaceae
Description: partial small subunit ribosomal RNA
Source: RNAcentral
GUUUUUAUAGCAGGUCUACUUUAAAAAAAAAAGAUACAUGAAAGACUUGUACCAAUCGGGAUCUAAAAAGGCUAGGAUUUAAAAGCCGGUCAAAAAGUGCUUUGCUAAAAAAAAAGUCCAGACUCCUAACCACGUACGCAUAUGUGUACGUGACUCGGCUAAUUAUAACCAGAAGGAUCUAUUAAAUUAUGGUGGCUGCUACGAAUCAGUCGGAUGAUUUCUCACCUCGUAGCCAUCUGAUCUAGCUUUGGGUGGCCGUUCGUUCCAAGCAACAGCCCCACCUCACGUCUUCCUCCUUUGAUCCCCUUCCAGCAGAGCAACGCAAGACCCACCAUGGCACCUAAGCCGUCGACGCGCGCUGCAAUGCAUCUCGAAGAUCCACCACCGCCCGCUGCAUCGUUGGCUGCGCUUCAUUGCAGUGCCGGGCGGCGCUUCGGGAGCACCGGCUUGCUCCAUUCCAGCCAUGGCCGUGGCAACACCUAGCACAAAAAAGCAUCGACGCUGCACCGAUGACGUCUCCAACGAAGCUUCUUUGUAGCCACGGCAGCACUCCAUUGCAGCCCCGGACACGCUCCAUUGCAGCUCCGAUGAAGCUCCAUUAUAGCUGCGAUAGAGCUCCAAUUACCCCGGACGCGCUCCAUUGCAGCGCCAACGAUGCUUCAACGCAACCCCGACGAAGUUUCGAUGGUCCCCCUGCGGCGCUCCAUCGCAACACUCGCCGUCGCCGAAGAUGCUUCAUUGCAGUGCUGACGCCGAUGCAGAGGUGUGGUCCAUCGAUGCUCCAUCGCAUCACCCGACGGCACCGACCAUGUUUCGUUGCUACGGACUCCACCGCAGCACCCCGACGGCGCCGUCAACGGAGUUGCACUGCACCGCCCUGCCGCUUGUUGGGCUCCAUCGCAGCGCGACGGCGACGCGGUUGCCGCGACGAAGCACGCGACAGCAACGGCGUGGAUGCUGCAACGCAACAUGAUGACGACGGGGGUUGCUGCGACGCGGCAAGAUGCGGCCCGAUGGUGAUGUCUCGUCGCCUCCAGCACCGGCGGCUGCCGUUGCAGUCCCCCAGGGUGGGAGCUUCACCAUGCUCCAUGCGGUGAUGUGGAUUUGGCCGGUGUCGCCUCUUCCUUUCAGUAGCAAGUGCAGGGGGAAAAAGCGAAGCAAGAAGACUAGGA